Gallus gallus (chicken) is the source of this 2401-nucleotide long non-coding RNA. Lineage: Eukaryota; Metazoa; Chordata; Aves; Galliformes; Phasianidae. The record is from Ensembl.
GGCUGAAUAUGAGCCAGCAGUGUGCCCAAGUGGCCGAGAAUGCCAAUGGCAUCCUGGCUUGGAUCAGGAAUGGUUUGGUGAGCAGGACUAAAGAAGUUAUCCUGCCCCUGCACUUGGCAUUGGUGAGGCCUCACCUCGAGUGCUGUGUUCAGUUUUGGCCACCUCAGUACAGAAAGGACAUGGAGGUGUUGGAGCAGGUCCAAAGAAGCUCAACAAGGCUUGUGAAGGGCUUAGAGAAUAUGGCCUAUGAGGAGAGACUGAAGGAACUGGGGCCGUUUAGUCUGGGGAAAAGGAGGCUGAGGGGAGACCUCAUUGCUCUCUUCCGAUAUCUGAAAGGUGCUCACAGCGAGAGCAGGGUUGGUCUCUUCUCACUGGUGACAGGUGACAGGACAAGGGGAAAUGGCCUCAAGUUGUGCCAGGGGAGGCUUAGGUUGGAUAUUAGGAAACGCUUCUUUACAGAAAUGGUUGUUCAGCACUGGGAUGGGCUGCCCAGGGGGUGGUUGAGUCACCAUCCCUGGAUGUGUUUAACAACCAUUUGGAUGUGGUGCUCAGGGACGUGAUUUAGCGGAGGGAUGUUAGAGUUAGGGUAGGAUGGUUGGGUUGUGGUUGGACUCAGUGAUCUUUAAGGUCUUUUCCAACCUGAGUGAUUCCAUGAUGCUAUGAUUCUAUUUCCUUGCACCCACAGGGAAAGCAGAGAAACAAAAAGGAAAAGGACUGCAUACACAUUCAGUGUAAAGGAAACAUGAAAAUAAAAUAAAUGGCUUUUCCAGAGUCAUUUUGCAGAAAAUAGAGGAUUUUUUUUCCCAGUGGAUUAGCAUUUGAUGCAGUUCUUUUUUUCUGUAUAUUUUUUUAUUGUUAGAUGUUCUGAAUAAUAAGAUGAUGUUUUAGUGAGGAUGAGCAGAGUAGUCCCCAAUUUAACUAAUACAACUGUACAUUCGUUCUGGGUCUUUGUCAACAUACAUUAAAAAUACUUCAUUGGUUCAACCCAUUUAGUUUUCUGAGGGAGUCUUGGGAAUUCCUUGCUGUUAAAUGAAUUAAGAGACACAGCCAGUCUGGAAGAGGAGCCUUUGAAUGUUUCAUUUCUCUGUUGCAUAAUGCACUGACACAUCCUGCCUCUGAAGGUGUCUCACAAAGCAGUCGUGGAGUGAUGGCUGAAAUGAAGUUUUGUAUGCUUGUGUCAUUUUCUUUGUGGGUGUGCAGGUUGGGACUGAACCCUACAAAGGCUGCUGCCUGUAGAGGGGCUGCUCAGUGCAGAAAGUCUGUACAGGAGCUGUGCAUGGUUUGGGCUUCUGAUUUAUUUCUUUUCUUUCCUCCUUUUGUUUUUUUUUCCUUUUUUUUUUCUGGCCCCUGCUCUGGACGCCACUGAAGUCACUGAAGGCUGCAUUCAGGAAACUUUGAAUCAGGCCCCUGAUAAGGGCAGCAUGCAUGGAGUUCCAAGAUGUGUCCUGGAAAGAGGAAUUCUUACAGAGAGAUGUGAUGAAAUACUGCCAUGCAUGAAGGAAGUGACUGUUAAGGAGAGCAAAAAAGACAAUUUCCAAGCAUGGUAAAAGAUUGGAGUGAAUUUGAUGCUAUUGAAAGACUGAUUUUACAGAAUAGGAGACUAGAAUUCUGCUUGCAAAGUGAACAUCUUUGGAAACCCAACAAGUACUUCAAAAGAAACACUGCAGACCUCUCAGAAAUGCCUGUGGACUACUGAUGGUCUUCAAAGAAUUUGGGCGGCACUAUGGAGCAGCGUUAAUCACUGCAGGUAAGGGAGGAAGUGUUAACUUAGAAUCUGUGGGGAUGUUACAGCUGAUAUUUUUCAUACAUAAUAACCUUGUUCCUCUUAGAGCAUUUCAUGUAUUUGGUAUUUAAAUUAGACUUCAUUUAGUAAUAUAGCUUAGUGUACCAUCUGAAACCAAAGAUGCAGAAUCUUUAAGUGUUUUAUCAUCCUUCUCAGUCUCUUCAAGUCCUUGUCAGUGUUGAAGCAGUUCUUUUAUGGCUCAGUUAAAGCACGUGCAGAAAUUUCCAAAAGUUUUAUUUGAAACUAUUACUGAUUUCCAUAACAAAGUGUAAAAAAAGCAACACAGUGGCCUAAACGGAGAUGAGAGACUCUUAAGAUUCCUCUUUAAACACAACAAACACACGGAAUCAUUGAGAAAGCCUGUGUAAGCUCAUGAAGUUGAUGUUAGACAAGAAAAAUGCUGACUGAAUUGCAGUGGCAAAUAUUUAAUCUUUCUAGAGGUCAGGGAUGUUUUAAAUAGAAGAGUGUUUUUUCCUCUUCAUUUAGCCCAUUGUCUCUUUAUUGCUGGUUGUGCUAGAUUCUUUCUGACAUCCUAAGAAAGUAUUGAUGGCUAUGGAAUAGAGGACCUAACAGUGGCUGUCAUGACAAACAGAGUGUAGGAAUAUCCAGAUUUCUUCC